GACGAACGCUGGCGGCGUGCUUAACACAUGCAAGUCGAACGGAAAGGCCCUGCUUUUGUGGGGUGCUCGAGUGGCGAACGGGUGAGUAACACGUGAGUAACCUGCCCUUGACUUUGGGAUAACUUCAGGAAACUGGGGCUAAUACCGGAUAGGAGCUCCUGCUGCAUGGGGGGGGUUGGAAAGUUUCGGCGGUUGGGGAUGGACUCGCGGCUUAUCAGCUUGUUGGUGGGGUAGGGGCUUACCAAGGCUUUGACGGGUAGCCGGCCUGAGAGGGUGACCGGCCACAUUGGGACUGAGAUACGGCCCAGACUCCUACGGGACGCAGCAGUGGGGAAUAUUGCACAAUGGGCCGAAGCCUGAUGCAGCAACGCCGCGUGCGGGAUGACGGCCUUCGGGUUGUAAACCGCUUUCGCCUGUGACGAAGCGUGAGUGACGGUAAUGGGUAAAGAAGCACCGGCUAACUACGUG
Molecule: ribosomal RNA, 468 nt
Filed under: uncultured bacterium
Lineage: Bacteria
Description: partial 16S ribosomal RNA
Rfam family: Bacterial small subunit ribosomal RNA
Source: RNAcentral